Molecule: ribosomal RNA, 253 nt
Filed under: uncultured bacterium
Lineage: Bacteria
Description: partial 16S ribosomal RNA
Rfam family: Bacterial small subunit ribosomal RNA
Source: RNAcentral
UACGGGGGGGGCAAGCGUUGUUCGGAAUUACUGGGCGUAAAGGGCUCGUAGGCGGCCAACUAAGUCAGACGUGAAAUCCCUCGGCUUAACCGGGGAACUGCAUCUGAUACUGGAUGGCUUGAGUUCGGGAGAGGGAUGCGGAAUUCCAGGUGUAGCGGUGAAAUGCGUAGAUAUCUGGAGGAACACCGGUGGCGAAGGCGGCUAUCUGGACCGACAUUGACGCUGAGGCGCGAAAGCGUGGGGAGCAAACAGG